This 496-nucleotide ribosomal RNA is filed under the name uncultured bacterium. RNAcentral's name for it is "partial 16S ribosomal RNA". It matches the Rfam family "Bacterial small subunit ribosomal RNA", at positions 29 to 507 of the family's 1533-position model. The record is from RNAcentral.
AUGAACGCUGGCGGCGUGCCUAAUCCAUGCAAGUCGAGCGAACAGACGAGGAGCUUGCUCCUCUGACGUUAGCGGCGGACGGGUGAGUAACACGUGGAUAACCUACCUAUAAGACUGGGAUAACUUCGGGAAACCGGAGCUAAUACCGGAUAAUAUAUUGAACCGCAUGGUUCAAUAGUGAAAGACGGUUUUGCUGUCACUUAUAGAUGGAUCCGCGCCGCAUUAGCUAGUUGGUAAGGUAACGGCUUACCAAGGCAACGAUGCUUAGCAGACCUGAGAGGGGGAACGGCCAAACUGGAACUGAGACACGGUCAAGACUCCUAAGGGAGGCAGCAGUAGGGAAUCUUCCGCAAUGGGCGAAAGCAUGACGGAGCAACGCCGCGUGAGUGAUGAAGGUCUUCGGAUCGUAAAACUCUGUUAUUAGGGAAGAACAAAUGUGUAAGUAACUAUGCACGUCUUGAAGGUACCUAAUCAGAAAGCCAAGGCUAACUACGUG